UCUAACGUGGCAGAUAAGUGCGUUGGAUUUAAGCUCCAUAAAUAAAGUCUUUAAACUUUCAUUAGAA
This 67-nucleotide transfer RNA is filed under the name Nasutitermes macrocephalus. Its description in RNAcentral is "tRNA-Leu". The record is from RNAcentral. Lineage: Eukaryota; Metazoa; Arthropoda; Insecta; Blattodea; Termitidae.